RNAcentral lists this ribosomal RNA (444 nucleotides) under uncultured soil bacterium. RNAcentral's name for it is "bacterial SSU rRNA". It matches the Rfam family "Bacterial small subunit ribosomal RNA", at positions 26 to 518 of the family's 1533-position model. The record is from RNAcentral.
AGAACGAACGCUGGCGGCAGGCUUAACACAUGCAAGUCGAACGGUUGUAGCAAUACAGCAGUGGCAGACGGGUGAGUAACACGUGGGAACCUUCCUAGGGGUACGGAACAACUCAGGGAAACUUGAGCUAAUACCGUAUACGUCCGUGAGGAGAAAGAUUUAUCGCCCUUAGACGGGCCCGCGUAGGAUUAGGUAGUUGGUGAGGUAACGGCUCACCAAGCCUACGAUCCUUAGCUGAUCUGAGAGGAUGAUCAGCCACACUGGGACUGAGACACGGCCCAGACUCCUACGGGAGGCAGCAGUGGGGAAUCUUGGACAAUGGGCGCAAGCCUGAUCCAGCCAUGCCGCGUGAGUGAAGAAGGCCUUGGUUGUAAAGCUCUUUUACCAGGGACGAUAAUGACGUACCUGGAGAAUAAGCCCGGCAAACUUCGUGCCAGCAGCCGC